Neogale vison (American mink) is the source of this 976-nucleotide long non-coding RNA. RefSeq lists it as uncharacterized. The record is from RefSeq and is a predicted model, not a curated record. The transcript is spliced from 4 exons. Lineage: Eukaryota; Metazoa; Chordata; Mammalia; Carnivora; Mustelidae.
CCAAGCAGAGCCUCUUGUGAACAGCUUUCCAACCCCUGGACGUCAGAGUGCUGAUAACUGGCCCGUUACACACAGAGGAGGCUGUUCACCUGCAAAAUGCUGUGGUUCUCAAGAUGAUGAGAUCUCAGGCUGUUGAGGUAUUUCUGCCGAAUACCUGCUACUACUACUGUCAGAAAGGCUUCCACUGCAAGGAGCAGAGAACUCUGUACAGAUUUGAAGACCGGAAUGGAGAAAACAGAAAUGAUUAAUGAAACAAGAGUGAAAUGUAUAUGUCACGUGCAAAGUGGGGGUGGGGCGCUGGCCAUGCAGUAAUUGGCCCUUUGUGCUGAGACGUGUCUAUGUCACAGGUGGAACACCAGGCAUUGGACCUUUGCUAAGACCAAAGGUAUCUCAGGCCUUCAGAAUGUGUUACGUCAGAGAGAAGAAAGUGACCAAGCAACCUGAUGCCAGUUUCGAGAUCUAUAUCCAGACCAGCUGUAGGAAGAGACAGUAAGGCUGCCACCCAAUGUGUACGCUGUUCGGUGUCUGCUGCUGAGCACGUUCAGAACUCAAGUGACAAAUAUGUGGGAAAGUGCCCAGAACUCUGUAGCUUUCACUGAUUCACGGUGGCUGAAAGUACAGGGACUGUUGUUAUCUCUUAAAGGAGGAAGCCAGAGGUAGUUCCACGGCUGCUGAAUUCUGUAGCAAAAUGAUGACACCCGGAGGCUUUCCUUGGUCUUUGCAUUCCAGCACACCAGUAAACUGACUCCCUCAUGAUCUCAGUGUGGCUGCAGAGCCUCCAGACAUCACCCCAACACACGGCUCGGUGUCAUUCUCCUGCAUCUCGUUUUAACCAUGGAAGAAAAUCUCUCCCACGGUAUGAAAGUUACCCUAUAAAACCCCAUAAUUCUCUUUUGGUUACCUUGUUUCAUAAAUUGCUGCAGGGGGCAAUAAUGUUGGGAUAGACAUCUCUGUAUAUACCCCCCCACCCCGUCCC